This 695-nucleotide ribosomal RNA is filed under the name uncultured bacterium. Its description in RNAcentral is "bacterial SSU rRNA". It matches the Rfam family "Bacterial small subunit ribosomal RNA", at positions 93 to 783 of the family's 1533-position model. The record is from RNAcentral.
GACCGGCGCACGGGUGAGUAACGCGUAUGCAACCCUGCCUACUACAGGGGGGAUAGCCCGGAGAAAUCCGGAUUAAUACCGCAUAAAACAGGGGCUCCACAUGGGGAUAUUUUGUUAAAGAUUUAUCGGUAGUAGAUGGGCAUGCGUUCCAUUAGCUGGUUGGUGGGGUAACGGCCUACCAAGGCAACGAUGGAUAGGGGAACUGAGAGGUUUAUCCCCCACACUGGUACUGAGACACGGACCAGACUCCUACGGGAGGCAGCAGUGAGGAAUAUUGGUCAAUGGACGAGAGUCUGAACCAGCCAAGUCGCGUGAAGGACGACGGUUCUAUGGAUUGUAAACUUCUUUUGUGCUAGAGUAAAGUCAGGUACGUGUACCUGAUUGCAAGUAUAGUACGAAUAAGCAUCGGCUAACUCCGUGCCAGCAGCCGCGGUAAUACGGAGGAUGCGAGCGUUAUCCGGAUUUAUUGGGUUUAAAGGGUGCGUAGGCGGUUUCUUAAGUCAGCGGUAAAAUUUCAGGGCUUAACCCUGUCGUGCCGUUGAAACUGGGGGACUUGAGUCUGGAUGAAGUGGGCGGAAUUUGUAGUGUAGCGGUGAAAUGCAUAGAUAUUACAAGGAACUCCAAUUGCGCAGGCAGCUCACUAAACCAUCACUGACGCUGAAGCACGAAAGCGUGGGUAUCAAACAGGAUUAGAU